GACGAACGCUGGCGGCGUGCUUAACACAUGCAAGUCGAGCGGUAAGGCCCUUUCGGGGUACGACGAGCGGCGAACGGGUGAGUAACACGUGGGUGGACCUGCCUUUAGUCUCUGGGAGUAAGACCUGGGAAACGUAGGGUCGUAAUACCGGAUAUGACCCUAUGGCGCAUGUUGUGGGGUGGGAAAGCCUUGUGCGGCUAGGGA
This 204-nucleotide ribosomal RNA is filed under the name uncultured bacterium. Its description in RNAcentral is "partial 16S ribosomal RNA". It matches the Rfam family "Bacterial small subunit ribosomal RNA", at positions 28 to 225 of the family's 1533-position model. The record is from RNAcentral.